RNAcentral lists this ribosomal RNA (253 nucleotides) under uncultured bacterium. RNAcentral's name for it is "partial 16S ribosomal RNA". It matches the Rfam family "Bacterial small subunit ribosomal RNA", at positions 524 to 776 of the family's 1533-position model. The record is from RNAcentral.
UACGUAGGUGGCAAGCGUUAUCCGGAAUUAUUGGGCGUAAAGCGCGCGCAGGCGGUUUCUUAAGUCUGAUGUGAAAGCCCACGGCUCAACCGUGGAGGGUCAUUGGAAACUGGGGAACUUGAGUGCAGAAGAGAAAAGCGGAAUUCCACGUGUAGCGGUGAAAUGCGUAGAGAUGUGGAGGGACACCAGUGGCGAAGGCGGCUUUUUGGUCUGUAACUGACGCUGAGGCGCGAAAGCGUGGGGAGCAAACAGG